RNAcentral lists this ribosomal RNA (292 nucleotides) under uncultured bacterium. RNAcentral's name for it is "partial 16S ribosomal RNA". It matches the Rfam family "Bacterial small subunit ribosomal RNA", at positions 505 to 796 of the family's 1533-position model. The record is from RNAcentral.
GUGUCAGCCGCCGCGGUAAUACGUAGGGUGCGAGCGUUAAUCGGAAUUACUGGGCGUAAAGCGUGCGCAGGCGGUUCGUUAAGUUCGUUGUGAAAGCCCCGGGCUCAACCUGGGAACGGCAAUGGAAACUGGCGGGCUAGAGUGUGGCAGAGGGGGGUGGAAUUCCACGUGUAGCAGUGAAAUGCGUAGAGAUGUGGAGGAACACCGAUGGCGAAGGCAACCCCCUGGGCUAACACUGACGCUCAGGCACGAAAGCGUGGGGAGCAAACAGGAUUAGAUACCCCCGUAGUCC